CAGUAGCCGCGGGAAUACGUAGGUCCCGAGCGUUGUCCGGAUUUAUUGGGCGUAAAGCGAGCGCAGGCGGUUAGAUAAGUCUGAAGUUAAAGGCUGUGGCUUAACCAAUGUAUGCUUUGGAAACUGUUUGACUUGAGUGCAGAAGGGGAGAGUGGAAUUCCAUGUGUAGCGGAGAAAUGCGUAGAUAUAUGGAGGAACACCGGUGGCGAAAGCGGCUCUCUGGUCUGUCACUGACGCUGAGGCUCGAAAGCGUGGGUAGCGAACAGGAUUAGAUACCCCUGUAGUCCCUGUCUCUUAUACA
Molecule: ribosomal RNA, 301 nt
Filed under: uncultured bacterium
Lineage: Bacteria
Description: partial 16S ribosomal RNA
Rfam family: Bacterial small subunit ribosomal RNA
Source: RNAcentral